GAUGAACGCUGGCGGCGUGCCUAAUACAUGCAAGUCGAGCGAACAGACGAGGAGCUUGCUCCUCUGACGUUAGCGGCGGACGGGUGAGUAACACGUGGAUAACCUACCUAUAAGACUGGGAUAACUUCGGGAAACCGGAGCUAAUACCGGAUAAUAUAUUGAACCGCAUGGUUCAAUAGUGAAAGACGGUUUUGCUGUCACUUAUAGAUGGAUCCGCGCCGCAUUAGCUAGUUGGUAAGGUAACGGCUUACCAAGGCAACGAUGCGUAGCCGACCUGAGAGGGUGAUCGGCCAAGUUGGAACUGAGACACGGUCCAGACCCCUACGGGAGGCAGAAGUAGGGAAGCUUCCGCAAUGGGCGAAAGCCUGACGAAGCAACGCCGCGUGAGUGAUGAAGGUCUUCGGAUCGGAAAACUAUGUUAUGAGGGAAGAACAAAUGUGUAAGUAACUAUGCACGUCUUGACGGUACCUAAUCAGAAAGCCACGGCUAACUACGG
Molecule: ribosomal RNA, 496 nt
Filed under: uncultured bacterium
Lineage: Bacteria
Description: partial 16S ribosomal RNA
Rfam family: Bacterial small subunit ribosomal RNA
Source: RNAcentral